UAGCACAGUAUGAGAGUAGAGACGAGAAGGAUCUAGAAGAAAUGGUGUGACAUUUCCUCCCAAGGCAUAUCAAGAGCAUCUUAAGAGAAGGAAGUCAACUAUUUCCUUCUUUCUUCAAGCUAUUAAGUAGAUGUAGAAACCACAGUCAUAGGUUAAGAGGAGUUGAGAAGGAGAAACUUGUACCCAUGGAUGUUGGAAGGAGUGGACUUGGGAACUCUUUCAUUUUCUACCAAAGUAGUGAACAACUCGUGAAGAUCAGUGGGGGGAAAUCAAGAGAUUAAAGGUUGAAGAUUCCAGAAGGUGACUUGCUAUCUGGUGGAUUUUAUGAUUAUGCGAGGGACUUGGGAGUAACGGCACGUUGGCUGUGAUACCAGUGAGUGAAUAGGGACUUAUCCAAUACACUAUAGUGUUGAUUGGGCAGUACUAGGAUCGUCCUCGGCAUAUUGGAACAUUCCGUUGUUUUGGUGAUUCCAGCACCUGUUGUGCGGGUAUUUUGUAUAUGUUAUCUUUUGGAUUUAGGUUCAUCUUCAGCAUUAGAUACUCCAUCUAAACACAGUUCAGACACUUCUUGUAUAUAUGGGCAAUAGGCCAGUAAUGUACUGGACAUGUAAUGUUAUGAGACAUUCCUAUCAUAUGCUGUUUAUAUGUUUCGUCUAUUUUGGUUUGAGGCUUGCUUGACCUUGGUGGAUCCGUUCCAUUGGGGUCAUGCGCCGGUCACAUGUCGUAUUUGGGUCGUGACAAUCAUAUUGCUUUAAUGUUUAAGGCUUAUGAUUUCCUUAUUGAUUGUCCAAGUUCAAUUCUCA
This is a long non-coding RNA of Tripterygium wilfordii, 803 nucleotides long. RefSeq lists it as uncharacterized. NCBI's taxonomy places the organism in Eukaryota, Viridiplantae, Streptophyta, Magnoliopsida, Celastrales, Celastraceae. The transcript is spliced from 3 exons. The record is from RefSeq and is a predicted model, not a curated record.